GGAUCAUUCCUAAUAUCCCUAUCUCUCACAAAGAAUACUUUCUCUAGAUCUUCUGUAGGAAUAUCUAAGUACCUAUCAGGAGGACAGGAGAUCUUACUUGAUCUAUGAGAUAGAGGUGGUACCACAUCUAUUGACUCACUAUUGGAUUCAGAUUUUUGGACUCAAUGCUCUUCAAAGACCUUCUCUUCGAGCUCAAUUUUCCUACCACUGUCUCCAUCUUAAAUAAACUCUU
This 232-nucleotide long non-coding RNA is filed under the name Elaeis guineensis (African oil palm). RNAcentral describes it as "long non-coding RNA (EGUI_LNC039518)". The record is from RNAcentral. Lineage: Eukaryota; Viridiplantae; Streptophyta; Magnoliopsida; Arecales; Arecaceae.